GCUUGCUUUUCUUGAGAGCGGCAGACGGGUGAGUAAUGCCUACGAAUCUGCCUGGUAGUGGGGGAUGACGUUCGGAAACGGACGCUAAUACCGCAUACGUCCUACGGGAGAAAGCAGGGGACCUUCAGGCCUUGCGCUAUCAGAUGAGCCUGGGUCGGAUUAGCUAGUUGGUGAGGUAAUGGCUCACCAAGGCGACGAUCCGUAGCUGGUCUGAGAGGAUGAUCACUCACACUGGCACUGAGACACGGUCCAGACUCAUACGGGAGGCAGCAGUGGGGAAUAUUGGACAAUGGGCGAGAAGCCUGAUCCAGCCAUGCCGCGUGUGUGAAGAAGGUCUUCGGAUUGGAAAGCACUUUUAGUUGGGAGGAAGGGUUGUGCAUUAAUGCUCAGCUGUUUGUGACUUUA
Molecule: ribosomal RNA, 405 nt
Filed under: Pseudomonas sp. MYb148
Lineage: Bacteria; Pseudomonadati; Pseudomonadota; Gammaproteobacteria; Pseudomonadales; Pseudomonadaceae
Description: bacterial SSU rRNA
Rfam family: Bacterial small subunit ribosomal RNA
Source: RNAcentral